UACGUAGGGUCCGAGCGUUGUUCGGAUUUACUGGGCGUAAAGCGUGUGUAGGCGGCUUCGCAAGUUGGAUGUGAAAUCCCACGGCUCAACCGUGGACGUGCAUCCAAAACUGCGUCGCUAGAGUCUCGGAGAGGAAGGUGGAAUGCUUGGUGUAGAGGUGAAAUUCGUAGAUAUCAAGCAGAACACCUGCGGCGAAGGCGGCCUUCUGGACGAUGACUGACGCUGAGACACGAAAGCGUGGGGAGCAAACAGG
This 253-nucleotide ribosomal RNA is filed under the name uncultured bacterium. RNAcentral's name for it is "partial 16S ribosomal RNA". It matches the Rfam family "Bacterial small subunit ribosomal RNA", at positions 524 to 776 of the family's 1533-position model. The record is from RNAcentral.